This 2887-nucleotide ribosomal RNA is filed under the name Acinetobacter baumannii 98826. RNAcentral describes it as "bacterial LSU rRNA". It matches the Rfam family "Bacterial large subunit ribosomal RNA". Lineage: Bacteria; Pseudomonadati; Pseudomonadota; Gammaproteobacteria; Moraxellales; Moraxellaceae. The record is from RNAcentral.
UCAAGUAAUUAAGUGCAUGUGGUGGAUGCCUUGGCAGUCAGAGGCGAUGAAAGACGUGAUAGCCUGCGAAAAGCUCCGGGGAGGCGGCAAAUAUCCUUUGAUCCGGAGAUGUCUGAAUGGGGGAACCCACCUACUUUAAGGUAGGUAUUGCAACAUGAAUACAUAGUGUUGCAAGGCGAACGAGGGGAAGUGAAACAUCUCAGUACCCUUAGGAAAAGAAAUCAAUUGAGAUUCCCUCAGUAGCGGCGAGCGAACGGGGAUCAGCCCAUUAAGUUAUGUGUGUUUUAGUGGAACGCUCUGGGAAGUGCGAACGUAGAGGGUGAUAUUCCCGUACACGAAAGGGCACACAUAAUGAUGACGAGUAGGGCGAGGCACGUGAAACCUUGUCUGAAUAUGGGGGGACCAUCCUCCAAGGCUAAAUACUCCUGACUGACCGAUAGUGAACCAGUACCGUGAGGGAAAGGCGAAAAGAACCCCUGUGAGGGGAGUGAAAUAGAUCCUGAAACCGCAUGCAUACAAGCAGUGGGAGCACCUUCGUGGUGUGACUGCGUACCUUUUGUAUAAUGGGUCAGCGACUUAUAUUCAGUAGCGAGGUUAACCGUAUAGGGGAGCCGUAGAGAAAUCGAGUCUUAAUAGGGCGUUUAGUUGCUGGGUAUAGACCCGAAACCAGGCGAUCUAUCCAUGAGCAGGUUGAAGGUUGGGUAACACUAACUGGAGGACCGAACCCACUGUCGUUGAAAAGCCAGGGGAUGACUUGUGGAUAGGGGUGAAAGGCUAAUCAAGCCUGGUGAUAGCUGGUUCUCCCCGAAAGCUAUUUAGGUAGCGCCUCGGACGAAUACCAUAGGGGGUAGAGCACUGUUUCGGCUAGGGGGUCAUCCCGACUUACCAAACCGAUGCAAACUCCGAAUACCUAUGAGUACUAUCCGGGAGACAGACUGCGGGUGCUAACGUCCGUAGUCAAGAGGAAAACAAUCCAGACCGCCAGCUAAGGCCCCAAAAUCAUAGUUAAGUGGGAAACGAUGUGGGAAGGCAUAGACAGCUAGGAGGUUGGCUUAGAAGCAGCCACCCUUUAAAGAAAGCGUAAUAGCUCACUAGUCGAGUCGGCCUGCGCGGAAGAUGUAACGGGGCUAAAACUAUGUGCCGAAGCUGCGGAUGUAUACUUUGUAUACGUGGUAGGGGAGCGUUCUGUAAGCCGAUGAAGGUGUGUUGAGAAGCAUGCUGGAGGUAUCAGAAGUGCGAAUGCUGACGUGAGUAACGACAAAACGGGUGAAAAACCCGUUCGCCGAAAGACCAAGGGUUCCAGUCCAACGUUAAUCGGGGCUGGGUGAGUCGACCCCUAAGGCGAGGCCGAAAGGCGUAGUCGAUGGGAAAAUGGUUAAUAUUCCAUUACUUCUGUGUAAUGCGAUGAGAGGACGGAGAAGGCUAAAUCAGCCUGGCGUUGGUUGUCCAGGUGAAAGGAUGUAGGCAUGUAUCUUAGGCAAAUCCGGGGUACUCUAUGCUGAGAUCUGAUAGCAAGCUGUACUUGUACAGCGAAGUGGUUGAUGCCAUGCUUCCAGGAAAAGUCUCUAAGCUUCAGUUACACAGGAAUCGUACCCGAAACCGACACAGGUGGUCAGGUCGAGUAGACCAAGGCGCUUGAGAGAACUCUGCUGAAGGAACUAGGCAAAAUGGUACCGUAACUUCGGGAGAAGGUACGCUGUUGUUGGUGAUGGAACUCGCUUCCUGAGCUGACGACAGCCGCAGAAACCAGGCCGCUGCAACUGUUUAUUAAAAACAUAGCACUCUGCAAACACGAAAGUGGACGUAUAGGGUGUGAUGCCUGCCCGGUGCUGGAAGGUUAAUUGAUGGGGUUAGCGUAAGCGAAGCUCUUGAUCGAAGCCCCAGUAAACGGCGGCCGUAACUAUAACGGUCCUAAGGUAGCGAAAUUCCUUGUCGGGUAAGUUCCGACCUGCACGAAUGGCAUAAUGAUGGCGGCGCUGUCUCCAGCAGAGGCUCAGUGAAAUCGAAAUCGCUGUGAAGAUGCAGUGUACCCGCGGCUAGACGGAAAGACCCCGUGAACCUUUACUGCAGCUUGACACUGAACUUUGACCUUACUUGUGUAGGAUAGGUGGGAGGCUUUGAAGCUGGAACGCUAGUUCCAGUGGAGCCGUCCUUGAAAUACCACCCUGGUAAUGUUGAGGUUCUAACUCUGUCCCGUGAUCCGGGACGAGGACCGUGUCUGGUGGGUAGUUUGACUGGGGCGGUCUCCUCCUAAAGAGUAACGGAGGAGUACGAAGGUGCGCUCAGCGUGGUCGGAAAUCACGCGUAGAGUAUAAAGGCAAAAGCGCGCUUAACUGCGAGACCCACAAGUCGAGCAGGUACGAAAGUAGGUCUUAGUGAUCCGGUGGUUCUGUAUGGAAGGGCCAUCGCUCAACGGAUAAAAGGUACUCUGGGGAUAACAGGCUGAUACCGCCCAAGAGUUCAUAUCGACGGCGGUGUUUGGCACCUCGAUGUCGGCUCAUCUCAUCCUGGGGCUGAAGCAGGUCCCAAGGGUAUGGCUGUUCGCCAUUUAAAGAGGUACGCGAGCUGGGUUUAGAACGUCGUGAGACAGUUCGGUCCCUAUCUACCGUGGGCGCUGGAAAUUUGAGAGGAUCUGCUCCUAGUACGAGAGGACCAGAGUGGACGAACCUCUGGUGUACCGGUUGUGACGCCAGUCGCAUCGCCGGGUAGCUAUGUUCGGAAGGGAUAACCGCUGAAAGCAUCUAAGCGGGAAGCCUACCUCAAGAUAAGAUUUCCCUAGGACUUUAUGUCCUCUAAAGAGCCGUUCGAGACUAGGACGUUGAUAGGUUGGAUGUGGAAGCAUAGUGAUAUGUGAAGCUGACCAAUACUAAUUGCUCGUGAGGCUUGA